AUUAUACCACCAGUUAGUGACGCGAAUAAAGAAAUCGUCUGCUGCUGUUAGCCUGUUACCGGUGUAGCACAUUUACGUGAAAUCGUGAAUGAAUCCAAAGAAAAAAUGAUUUUCAACCUAUUUUUGCUAUCGUAGAAGUUCUCUAUUGUUUUGCCCUGGUUUUGCCAAAGACUACGAAGUCUGUGGUUUUGCAACUAUGCAUACUUGCCCAGUUGCACGUGAUUUGAUCCUUCUGAUUCCUAAUCGACGGCCAUCCAACAAAGCUACAAAGCUGUUUGUGUGAUUGAGCUCUAUUAAUUUUUGAAGAUGGUUGCAAACAAUUUCAAGAAAAAGUGCUGCUAAAGGAAAAAUAACCACCUCCUUCCAGUCUUGUCAAGCCAGAAAACGCAAUUUAAAGGCAUCGUCUAUUCGGCUACCUUCUCAAGUCGGUCAUGUUGUUGCUGAAGAUUUCUUUUCACAAAUUGAAGAGACCUUACAGGCUGUACUGGAUGGACCAGUUCACGUUCCCAGCCGUCUCUUUACUAGAAAAGGCCACAAUAUUGACUUCGCCACCAUAUUCAGCAUGGAUAAGACUCCUGUUCCUAUAAACCCGGUAUGGGACAGUUUUACCAAUAAAACACGAUUUGUGGAAGAUCUCCACAUCCAAAAGGGAAAUCGAUUGGUGCUUUGGAAAAUUUUCCGCCCUCAAGCUUAUAGCCACAACCACUACUUUCAAUGUUACGCCAAACCAGUUAAUGGUUCCUGUUAUCUUUUGACCCGGUUUGAUCACUCAGUGAUUAAUGAUACUUUGAGGUGGACUGUGUGUAGUAUAUAACUGUUGAAUUGGUCGAUCAAAGAAGUCAGUUAUUGAUCUGAUUUUAACCACCUAACAGCUCUCGGACACAGUCAACAUGAAGUUCUUGAUUCUUGUCAGCCUCAUUGCUGUCGUUGCCGCCAAAUCCGCUUAUCCAACUAAGGAUUAUUCAUCCCCCGCUUAUGAAAAGCCUGCUGAAUCCUACAAACCUCAACCAUAUAGUUUCGAAUGGGCGGUUAAGGAUGAAUCCUACAACGACUACUCUCAUACUCAGAGUAGCGAUGGGAAAGUGAUCACAGGAUCGUACCGCAUGGAACUCCCAGACGGCCGUGCUCAAAUCGUCAACUACAAGGCUGACAGCAACGGAUACACCGCCGACGUCACGUACGAAGGAGAGGCCCAAUACCCGCCUGUCACUUACUCCGCCUCAGCUUACUCUGCUUCGGUCUAUAAUGCUCCAACUUACCCCGCGUUCAGCAAAAUCCCAGUAAGCGAAAUUCCAACAUACAAUUCCCCAACCUACAAAAUCCCAUCUAGAUAUUAAGCAUAAUUUCACGUUACGCAUGUAAUUCAUCUGUGUGAAUGGUAAUUGAUUUUCGCUUGUACACGAAAAUUCGAUUUAAUUAGCAGGAACUCAUUUAUGUCUGUCAACCCCCCACAAUUAAUAACUUUCACCGUAAAAUCAUGCUGAUAAAUCCGGAUAAAUCAAAUGAUAAAUAUUCGAACUUUGUUUCUA
RNAcentral lists this long non-coding RNA (1529 nucleotides) under Daphnia pulex (common water flea). RNAcentral's name for it is "uncharacterized LOC124202422, transcript variant X2". Lineage: Eukaryota; Metazoa; Arthropoda; Branchiopoda; Diplostraca; Daphniidae. The record is from RNAcentral.